CGUAACAAGGUCUCCGUAGGUGAACCUGCGGAGGGAUCAUUACACAAAUAUGAAGGCGGGCUGGAACCUCUCGGGGUUACAGCCUUGCUGAAUUAUUCACCCUUGUCUUUUGCGUACUUCUUGUUUCCUUGGUGGGUUCGCCCACCACUAGGACAAACAUAAACCUUUUGUAAUUGCAAUCAGCGUCAGUAACAAAUUAAUAAUUACAACUUUCAACAACGGAUCUCUUGGUUCUGGCAUCGAUGAAGAACGCAGCGAAAUGCGAUAAGUAGUGUGAAUUGUAGAAUUCAGUGAAUCAUCGAAUCUUUGAACGCACAUUGCGCCCUUUGGUAUUCCAAAGGGCAUGCCUGUUCGAGCGUCAUUUGUACCCUCAAGCUUUGCUUGGUGUUGGGCGUCUUGUCUCUAGCUUUGCUGGAGACUCGCCUUAAAGUAAUUGGCAGCCGGCCUACUGGUUUCGGAGCGCAGCACAAGUCGCACUCUCUAUCAGCAAAGGUCUAGCAUCCAUUAAGCCUUUUUUUCAACUUUUGACCUCGGAUCAGGUAGGGAUACCCGCUGAACUUAAGCAUAUCA
Molecule: ribosomal RNA, 570 nt
Filed under: uncultured fungus
Lineage: Eukaryota; Fungi
Description: eukaryotic LSU rRNA
Rfam family: 5.8S ribosomal RNA (bases 208-361)
Source: RNAcentral